ACAAGAAGAAAGCCAGGUUGGACU
RNAcentral lists this non-coding RNA (24 nucleotides) under Arabidopsis thaliana (thale cress). The record is from RNAcentral. Lineage: Eukaryota; Viridiplantae; Streptophyta; Magnoliopsida; Brassicales; Brassicaceae.